GGGGCUCGGCGCCGCGGCGCGGGUGCCCCCGCCCCCACCCCCGCGCACGCCCGGCGCGCCUGGAUGGACUCCCGGGGGCUCGCGCUGCGGAGAUCCACUUGUCAGUUCAAGGGCAGGACAGAAACUCUGCAAGCGGAGUCUUGCGAACAGGAAAUUUCUCAUUGACAAGGACCAGCAGGUCUCAGCUGCUUGGUUCACCAUGGGAACCUAAGAAUGCAUCCCCUGAAUGCAGAGUUGCCUUCCUCCCAGGCUGCUUCCAAGGAUACACAAAACCCAGCAAAGAUAAAUAG
RNAcentral lists this long non-coding RNA (290 nucleotides) under Sus scrofa (pig). Its description in RNAcentral is "lncRNA (ENSSSCG00045015491.1)". Lineage: Eukaryota; Metazoa; Chordata; Mammalia; Artiodactyla; Suidae. The record is from RNAcentral.